AUCCCUUGAGUUACUUUAAGAGAAGAAGGGAAGGGGUCUGGUCUCUGUGAUUCAGAAAAAGAACAGAAGUUCAGAAACAAGAUGAUGAAGGUUUAAGAAGCAGCAUCAUCAGCGAACUGUGUUUUGAAGAUUUGAGGGAAGGGCUGACCUCAGGAUUUUAUACUAGGUAUUUGAUGCAAUGCAGACUGGAAUCCUCCCCACAAGGAUGCCCUGGCCUGAGUGGCACAGAGAUCAAUGCAGCAGUCAUUUCCUGGGCGGGGAAAGCCCAUCCACAGUGGCCCUGGAAUGAUGCUGGUCUUACCUUCUAUUCCUAGGAAGGCCCUAUCUCAAGUGGCUCUGGUCCAUGCAAACAGAUGGAAACGGGUGUGGGGAAGCACAGGCCUCCUACUCAUGUUAAGAGAGCUGCUCAGAGGCAGGAAUCCAGAACCAGGAAUGUCCCCAGUGGCUGCCCAAGGUACAAGUGGCAGGCAGCGGGGAGAAUGGCAUGUGAAGUCAUUUGUAACCUGGCCCCAGCUUGGUUUCCAAGUCUCAGAGGAGAUUAUGGAUAUGGUAGUGCCUGGCUCAGUGCUUAAAAUCCAUUCUCCUGCUAUUUCCCUCACCUACACUCAGCCCCACAAGCCGAGAUGUUUGCUGGACAUUUCAGGCACUGCCACCCAGUUCUGUCUACCUUACCUGCUAACACCUGUUGACCAUCCUUCAUGUGAAGGCUUCCCCAAAUACUUCCCAAUCAAAACACUAAAAGGCAGACCUGAAAUUAAUAAAAAUGUUAAUUAAAUCUGUACAACAGAAAGCAUAAUGCCAGUCUUUUUAAUUAUGAAAUGUAGCAUUCAUAUAAAUUUCAUUGCUUUUGAAAACAA
Molecule: long non-coding RNA, 857 nt
Filed under: Homo sapiens (human)
Lineage: Eukaryota; Metazoa; Chordata; Mammalia; Primates; Hominidae
Description: HSALNT0317239
Source: RNAcentral